Molecule: ribosomal RNA, 495 nt
Filed under: uncultured bacterium
Lineage: Bacteria
Description: partial 16S ribosomal RNA
Rfam family: Bacterial small subunit ribosomal RNA
Source: RNAcentral
GAUGAACGCUGGCGGCGUGCCUAAUACAUGCAAGUCGAGCGAACAGACGAGGAGCUUGCUCCUUGACGUUAGCGGCGGACGGGUGAGUAACACGUGGGUAACCUACCUAUAAGACUGGGAUAACUUCGGGAAACCGGAGCUAAUACCGGAUAAUAUUUCGAACCGCAUGGUUCGAUAGUGAAAGAUGGCUUUGCUAUCACUUAUAGAUGGACCUGCGCCGUAUUAGCUAGUUGGUAAGGUAACGGCUUACCAAGGCAACGAUACGUAGCCGACCUGAGAGGGUGAUCGGCCACACUGAACUGAGACACGGUCCAGACUCCUACGGGAGGCAGCAGUAGGGAAUCUUCCGCAAUGGGCGAAAGCCUGACGGAGCAACGCCGCGUGAGUGAUGAAGGUCUUCGGAUCGUAAAACUCUGUUAUUAGGGAAGAACAAACGUGUAAGUAACUGUGCACGUCUUGACGGUACCUAAUCAGAAAGCCACGGCUAACUACGUG